UACGUAGGGGGCAAGCGUUGUCCGGAAUCAUUGGGCGUAAAGGGCGCGUAGGCGGCUAUAUAAGUCUGAUGUGAAAGUGCGGAGCUUAACUCCGUAAAGCAUUGGAAACUGUAUGGCUUGAGGACAGGAGAGGAAAGUGGAAUUCCACGUGUAGCGGUGAAAUGCGUAGAGAUGUGGAGGAACACCAGUGGCGAAGGCGACUUUCUGGACUGUAACUGACGCUGAGGCGCGAAAGCGUGGGGAGCGAACAGGAUUAGAUACCCUGGUAGUCCACGCCGUAAACGAUGAAUGCUAGGUGUAGAGGGUAUCGACCCCUUCUGUGCCGCAGUUAACACAAUAAGCAUUCCGCCUGGGGAGUACGGCCGCAAGGUUGAA
Molecule: ribosomal RNA, 375 nt
Filed under: uncultured bacterium
Lineage: Bacteria
Description: bacterial SSU rRNA
Rfam family: Bacterial small subunit ribosomal RNA
Source: RNAcentral